This is a non-coding RNA of Schistosoma haematobium, 46 nucleotides long. The record is from Rfam. Lineage: Eukaryota; Metazoa; Platyhelminthes; Trematoda; Strigeidida; Schistosomatidae.
GCACUGCUGAGGAGUCCCACAAUAGGACGAAACGUUCUUCCAUUGC